Long non-coding RNA from Mus musculus (house mouse), 1696 nucleotides. RefSeq annotates it as predicted gene 10790. NCBI's taxonomy places the organism in Eukaryota, Metazoa, Chordata, Mammalia, Rodentia, Muridae. The record is from RefSeq and is marked predicted. The transcript is spliced from 7 exons.
AAAGCACAGGACUGCGUCUCUCACCACCACAGCCAGGCAGCUGCUCUUCUAGCUUCUGAUUAUCAUCCCCAAGCCAUGCCUUGGUCAUUUCUGAGUUGAACAAAAUCAUGGAAGAUGUGACUGUCAAGUGGAGACAUCGAGCCUUUCUGCUGCCCUCAGCAUCUCCCAGCAGCCUCUCUGGUUCAAGACUUUCUUUGUCUCUAGAAGUUGCUCCAGGAUCCCAGACUGUAUUGCUAAGCCAUUGCCAACGAUUUGCACUUCUGUCGUCCCUUUCAUCUGGGAACCACAAGGCCAUCUGAAACUUCUCUGAUCAGCUUCAGAGGAGUCCCCUCUAUCAGUUAAGAAUUGUACUCUACACUGAGAAGCAGGUAUUGCAUUUGUUGGUCGCAAGGAUAAUCCCCCAAAUUCCCACAGCAUCCAGAUGAAGUUGUCUACUGUCCACAGGAUGUUCAGCAAAGACACCGGGAUGUAUUUGCCUGAAGAAGAACGGAAGAGAACUGAAAAGAGACAUCUAAGGGGAUGACGUUGUCAUCGGGCCAUUAAUACCUGAACUGCAUUUUAUUUCACAGAGGGCCUCAGGUACUCACAUAGCCCUACAGUGUGGAAUCAAUGUCUGAGAAACCAGGAAGAAAAUCUGACCCAAAGCUAGUGGAAAGGCAGAGAGAGAAGCUGAUACCUUCAGGAACAGCGAAUGCCACACUUGUUUCUGCUCCCCCUGGAUUUAUCAUGGAAGGUGAUCUAAUCCAUCCAUUCCCAGAAGAGAGUGUGUUGUAGCACUGGGUAUUUAUUCUCAGCAUGCCAAAGUUCUGUGCCCACAGAAAAGGUCCACCUCGCCUACUGUCAAGACUUUGGGUAGAUGUGUGGAUGCUCAGAUGCCUUGCUCCUUUCUCCUUUCUCAUGCAUGUUUCUGGCUUUGUGUAUUCCCUGGAUUUUGCCCAUGUCCUUCAUCACUGUGGGCUCCAAGAUACACUUUACUUGGUCUGUGAAAAACAGCUGACUCAACUGAAAACCUCCAUGGACUUCUUCACUAUUGAUUCAGGGUGGACUCUACUUGCAUUGGUGAAAUUCCAGCCUGGGUUACUUCUGUCCAGUCUUAAUACUGAAAUUCUAGAGAGUAGCCACCCAAUCUGGAAGCCACGACAAAACUCUUGAUGGACGUGGGGAACUAGGUCAAUAUGUCACAUCCACAUCAUCCUAGAUCAGAUUGCCUGGGGACACAAUGACCAAGCUUUCCCAUCCAUAGAAGACAUGCUUCAGGCUGUCCCUACAGGCCCCCUCCAGCUCUUUAAGAGAGAUCCUUAGGGAGGCCCUGGUCUUUGUCAGAGACUGGGGUUGGUGGAGGGUGGCUAAUCUGUAAGUCUCCAGAAAACUAUGUGUCUGUCCUAUACAAUCUCAGCAAGCUGUUGGCCCAAAGUCUUGUGUUUUGCACUAACCAUGUAUCUCUCACUUCAUAUUAAACAAUACCCUCAACUUUUCAUCCUGAAAUCUCUUCUUGGUACAUUUGUUCAUUUUUCAUUCAUCUUUUCCUUUCUAAAUUUUCAAUGAUGUCCCUGAAUCAGGUGCAGAGAGAUGGCUCAAUUAAAAUAGUAGGGAGUGAACAUUACACUGGAAAUAAAUGUGGUAUAUUUAAGAAUUUAUGACAGGUUUUGAGACAGAUGUUGAUUUUACUUCAAAAUAAAGUACAGUUAUUUUAUGC